RNAcentral lists this ribosomal RNA (503 nucleotides) under uncultured bacterium. RNAcentral's name for it is "partial 16S ribosomal RNA". It matches the Rfam family "Bacterial small subunit ribosomal RNA", at positions 29 to 523 of the family's 1533-position model. The record is from RNAcentral.
AAUGAACGCUGGCGGCGUGUCUUAAGCAUGCAAGUCGUGCGGCAAGGGUAGCAAUACUCCUAGAGCGGCGGACUGGUGAGUAACGCGUGGGUGAUCUUCCCUGGGGUUGGGGAUAGCCAUCAGAAAGCGUGGGUAAUACCGAAUACGGUGUCGAGACUGUGGUCUUGUCAGGAAAGGAGCUUCUGCGCCUGCCGCGGAUGAGCCCACGGCCCAUUAGCUAGUUGGUGAGGUAACGGCCCACCAAGGCGAUGAGGGGUAGGCGGCCUGAGAGGGUGUACGCCCACACUGGGACUGAGAUACGGCCCAGACUCCUACGGGAGGCAGCAGCUAAGAAUAUUCCGCAAUGGACGAAAGUCUGACGGAGCGACGCCGCGUGGAUGACGAAGGCCGAAAGGUUGUAAGAUCCUUUUGUUGGGGAAGAAUAAGGCUGGGAGGGUAUCUCCGGCUGAUGACAUGAACCGACGAAUAAGUCCCGGCUAACUACGUGCCAGCAGCCGCAGUAA